CUAGUAACUGCGAGUGAAGAGGGAAAAGCUCAAAUUUAAAAUCUGGCAGUCUUUGAUUGUCCGAGUUGUAAUUUAGAGAAGUGUUACCCGUGUUGGACUGUGUAUAAGUUUCCUGGAAUGGAGCGUCAUAGAGGGUGAGAAUCCCGUCUUUGACACAGAUCCCAAUGCAUUGUGGUACGCUCUCAAAGAGUCGAGUUGUUUGGGAAUGCAGCUCUAAAUGGGUGGUAAAUUCCAUCUAAAGCUAAAUAUUGGGGAGAGACCGAUAGCGAACAAGUACCGUGAGGGAAAGAUGAAAAGAACUUUGGAAAGAGAGUUAAACAGUACGUGAAAUUGCUGAAAGGGAAACGCUUGAAGUCAGUCGCGUUGGUCAGGGAUCAGCCUUCCUUUU
RNAcentral lists this ribosomal RNA (388 nucleotides) under Lentinula madagasikarensis. RNAcentral describes it as "partial large subunit ribosomal RNA". It matches the Rfam family "Eukaryotic large subunit ribosomal RNA", at positions 80 to 462 of the family's 3401-position model. Lineage: Eukaryota; Fungi; Basidiomycota; Agaricomycetes; Agaricales; Omphalotaceae. The record is from RNAcentral.